This 495-nucleotide ribosomal RNA is filed under the name uncultured bacterium. RNAcentral's name for it is "bacterial SSU rRNA". It matches the Rfam family "Bacterial small subunit ribosomal RNA", at positions 323 to 838 of the family's 1533-position model. The record is from RNAcentral.
GACACGGUCCAGACUCCUACGGGAGGCAGCAGUGGGGAAUAUUGCACAAUGGAGGGAACUCUGAUGCAGCGACGCCGCGUGAGCGAUGAAGGCUUUCGGGUCGUAAAGCUCUGUCCUAGGGGACGAUAAUGACGGUACCCUAGGAGGAAGCCCCGGCUAACUACGUGCCAGCAGCCGCGGUAAUACGUAGGGGGCGAGCGUUGUCCGGAAUUAUUGGGCGUAAAGGGUACGCAGGCGGCCAUGUAAGUCAGAUGUGAAAGACAUAGGCUUAACUUAUGUAAGCAUUUGAAACUGCGUGGCUUGAGUUAAGGAGAGGAAAGUGGAAUUCCUAGUGUAGCGGUGAAAUGCGUAGAUAUUAGGAAGAAUAUCAGUGGCGAAGGCGACUUUCUGGACUUAUACUGACGCUGAGGUACGAAAGCGUGGGGAGCAAACAGGAUUAGAUACCCUGGUAGUCCACGCCGUAAACGAUGAGUGCUAGGUGUCGGGGGUCAAACC